CAAACUGACUAGUACCGAGUUCGCUGUUAUAUUAUCAAAUCGUAAAGUUAUAUUCAAUCAAAAUGAAAACACUGAUUUUAUUAUUCAUCGUUGCCACAACAUGCCUGAGUUUUUCUCAUGGACUCGGAGGAUCUGAAUCUAAAGUUAUUCCAAAUUCCAUAAAUCAAAUGUCUAUUGAUUUUUUCAAGGUUGCUCUUGAUAAUCAGGCAGAUAAUUUUGUCUGUUCACCAUUCAGUGUUGCACAUGUAUUGGCAAUAAGUGCAUUUGGUUCACAAGGAAACACCAGAGAUGA
Long non-coding RNA from Aphidius gifuensis, 292 nucleotides. RefSeq lists it as uncharacterized. The transcript has 3 exons. Lineage: Eukaryota; Metazoa; Arthropoda; Insecta; Hymenoptera; Braconidae. The record is from RefSeq and is a predicted model, not a curated record.